This 636-nucleotide ribosomal RNA is filed under the name Lamourouxia rhinanthifolia. RNAcentral describes it as "eukaryotic LSU rRNA". The stretch from base 242 to 397 matches the Rfam family "5.8S ribosomal RNA". The record is from RNAcentral. Lineage: Eukaryota; Viridiplantae; Streptophyta; Magnoliopsida; Lamiales; Orobanchaceae.
UUUCCGUAGGUGAACCUGCGGAAGGAUCAUUGUCGAAACCUGCAAAAGCAGACCGCGAACACGUUUAAACACAUUGGGAUCGUGGGUCGGGGGCAACCCCAACUCUCGUUCCCCUCCCGCAGUGCGCGCUGCGGGGAAACGAACCCCGGCGCGGCAUGCGCCAAGGAAAACUCAUAGAAGCGUCCGCCUCUCGUCGCCCCGUUCGCGGUGCGCGUUGGGGGACGUCUCUCAAUGUCAUAACGACACUCGGCAACGGAUAUCUCGGCUCUCGCAUCGAUGAAGAACGUAGCGAAAUGCGAUACUUGGUGUGAAUUGCAGAAUCCCGUGAACCAUCGAGUCUUUGAACGCAAGUUGCGCCCGAAGCCAUUCGGCCGAGGGCACGCCUGCCUGGGCGUCACGCAUCGCGUCGCCCCCCCCAUCACUCCCCGGACAUUGGCCCCCCGUGCGCUCCGCCGCGCGGCCGGCCUAAAUGCGAACCCGUGGCGACUCUCGUCACGACAUGUGGUGGUUGAACACUCAACUCUCGUGCUGUCGUGCCGUGAGUCGUACGUCGGGCAUUGUGGCAGACCCAGUGGCGCAAGUGAUUGCGCCUUCGACCGCGACCCCAGGUCAGGCGGGAUUACCCGCUGAGUUUAA